This 464-nucleotide ribosomal RNA is filed under the name uncultured bacterium. RNAcentral's name for it is "partial 16S ribosomal RNA". It matches the Rfam family "Bacterial small subunit ribosomal RNA", at positions 28 to 507 of the family's 1533-position model. The record is from RNAcentral.
GACGAACGCUGGCGGCGUGCCUAACACAUGCCAGUCGAGCGAAUGAAGUUCCUUCGGGAAUGGAUUUAGCGGCGGACGGGUGAGUAACACGUGGGCAACCUGCCUCAUAGAGGGGAAUAGCCUUCCGAAAGGGAGAUUAAUACCGCAUAAGAUUGUAGUAUCGCAUGAUACAGCAAUUAAAGGAGCAAUCCGCUAUGAGAUGGGCCCGCGGCGCAUUAGCUAGUUGGUGAGGUAACGGCUCACCAAGGCGACGAUGCGUAGCCGACCUGAGAGGGUGAUCGGCCACAUUGGGACUGAGACACGGCCCAGACUCCUACGGGAGGAAGCAGUGGGGAAUAUUGCACAAGGGGGGAAACCCUGAUGCAGCAACGCCGCGUGAGUGAUGACGGCCUUCGGGUUGUAAAGCUCUGUCUUCAGGGACGAUAAUGACGGUACCUGAGGAGGAAGCCACGGCUAACUACGUG